GAUGAACGCUGGCGGCGUGCCUAAUACAUGCAAGUCGAGCGAACGGACGAGAAGCUUGCUUCUCUGAUGUUAGCGGCGGACGGGUGAGUAACACGUGGAUAACCUACCUAUAAGACUGGGAUAACUUCGGGAAACCGUAGCUAAUACCGGAUAAUAUAUUGAACCGCAUGGUUCAAUAGUGAAAGACGGUCUUGCUGUCACUUAUAGAUGGAUCCGCGCUGCAUUAGCUAGUUGGUAAGGUAACGGCUUACCAAGGCAACGAUGCAUAGCCGACCUGAGAGGGGGAUCGGCCACACUGGAACUGGGACAGGGUCCAGACUCCUACGGGAGGCAGCAGUAGGGAAUCUUCCGCAAUGGGCGAAAGCCUGACGGAGCAACGCCGCGUGAGUGAUGAAGGUCUUCGGAUCGUAAAACUCUGUUAUUAGGGAAGAACAUAUGUGUAAGUAACUGUGCACAUCUUGACGGUACCUAAUCAGAAAGCCACGGCUAACUACGU
Molecule: ribosomal RNA, 496 nt
Filed under: uncultured bacterium
Lineage: Bacteria
Description: partial 16S ribosomal RNA
Rfam family: Bacterial small subunit ribosomal RNA
Source: RNAcentral